GCCGAUGUGGCUCAGUUGGUAGAGCGUCGCAUUCGUAAUGCGCAGGUCACGAGUUCGAGUCUCGUCAUCGGCU
This 73-nucleotide transfer RNA is filed under the name Paludibacteraceae bacterium. RNAcentral's name for it is "tRNA-Thr". It matches the Rfam family "tRNA". From Rfam's summary of the family: Transfer RNA (tRNA) molecules are approximately 80 nucleotides in length. Their secondary structure includes four short double-helical elements and three loops (D, anti-codon, and T loops). The record is from RNAcentral. RNAcentral also lists the same sequence under 1 other name. Lineage: Bacteria; Pseudomonadati; Bacteroidota; Bacteroidia; Bacteroidales; Paludibacteraceae.